This 496-nucleotide ribosomal RNA is filed under the name uncultured bacterium. RNAcentral describes it as "partial 16S ribosomal RNA". It matches the Rfam family "Bacterial small subunit ribosomal RNA", at positions 29 to 507 of the family's 1533-position model. The record is from RNAcentral.
AUGCACGCUGGCGGCGUGCCUAAUACAUGCAAGUCGAGCGAACAGACGAGGAGCCUGCUCCUCUGACGUUAGCGGCGGACGGGUGAGUAACACGUGGAUAACCUACCUAUAAGACUGGGAUAACUUCGGGAAACCGGAGCUAAUACCGGAUAAUAUAUUGAACCGCAUGGUUCAAUAGUGAAAGACGGUUUUGCUGUCACUUAUAGAUGGAUCCGCGCCGCAUUAGCUAGUUGGUAAGGUAACGGCUUACCAAGGCAACGAUGCGUAGCCGACCUGAGAGGGUGAUCGGCCACACUGGAACUGAGACACGGUCCAGACUCCUACGGGAGGCAGCAGUAGGGAAUCUUCCGCAAUGGGCGAAAGCCUGACGGAGCAACGCCGCGUGAGUGAUGAAGGUCUUCGGAUCGUAAAACUCUGUUAUUAGGGAAGAACAAAUGUGUAAGUAACUAUGCACGUCUUGACGGUACCUAAUCAGAAAGCCACGGCUAACUACGUG